GGGAUUGCCUCAGUAACGGCGAGUGAAGCGGCAACAGCUCAAAUUUGAAAUCUGGCCCCUUCCGGGGUCCGAGUUGUAAUUUGUAGAGAGUGUUUCGGGUGAGACCACGGUCUAAGUCCAUUGGAACAUGGCGUCAUAGAGGGUGAGAAUCCCGUAUGUGACUGUGGCUCGAGCCCAUGUGAAGCCUCUUCGACGAGUCGAGUUGUUUGGGAAUGCAGCUCUAAAUGGGUGGUAAAUUUCAUCUAAAGCUAAAUACUGGCUGGAGACCGAUAGCGCACAAGUAGAGUGAUCGAAAGAUGAAAAGCACUUUGGAAAGAGAGUUAAACAGUACGUGAAAUUGUUGAAAGGGAAGCGCUGGCAAUCAGACCUGCCCGUAGGCGAUCAGCCGCUGUUCUCAGCGGUGCACUCGUUCUGCGAUCAGGCCAGCAUCGGUUUCGGCGGCCGGAUAAAGGCCCGGGGAACGUAGCUCCCUCUCGGGGGAGUGUUAUAGCCUCGGGCGCAAUGCGGCCAGCCGGGACCGAGGACCGCGCUUCGGCUAGGAUGCUGGCGUAAUGGUUGUCAGCGACCCGUCUUGAAACACGGACCAAGGAGUCUAACAUCUAUGCGAGUGUUUGGGUGUCAAACCCAUGCGCGGAAUGAAAGUGAACGGAGGUGAGAACCCUUUAGGGCGCAUCAUCGACCGAUCCAGAUGUCUUCGGAUGGAUUUGAGUAUGAGCAUAGCUGUUGGGACCCGAAAGAUGGUGAACUAUGCCUGAAUAGGGUGAAGCCAGAGGAAACUCUGGUGGAGGCUCGCAGCGGUUUUGACCGUGCAAAU
Molecule: ribosomal RNA, 814 nt
Filed under: Cetrariastrum andense
Lineage: Eukaryota; Fungi; Ascomycota; Lecanoromycetes; Lecanorales; Parmeliaceae
Description: eukaryotic LSU rRNA
Rfam family: Eukaryotic large subunit ribosomal RNA
Source: RNAcentral